RNAcentral lists this ribosomal RNA (460 nucleotides) under uncultured bacterium. RNAcentral's name for it is "partial 16S ribosomal RNA". It matches the Rfam family "Bacterial small subunit ribosomal RNA", at positions 338 to 795 of the family's 1533-position model. The record is from RNAcentral.
CCUACGGGUGGCAGCAGUGAGGAAUAUUGGUCAAUGGGCGCAAGCCUGAACCAGCCAAGUAGCGUGAAGGAUGACUGCCCUACGGGUUGUAAACUUCUUUUAUGAGGGAAUAAAGUGCGUCACGUGUGCCUUUUUGUAGGUACUUUAUGAAUAAGGAUCGGCUAACUCCGUGCCAGCAGCCGCGGUAAUACGGAGGAUCCGGGCGUUAUCCGGAUUUAUUGGGGUUAAAGGGAGCGUAGGGGGGAUGUUAAGUCAGUCGUUAAAGGCUGGGGCUCAACCGUAACAGUGCAGUGGGUACUGGCUGUCGUGAGUACACGGGAGGUAUGCGGAAUUCGUGGUGUAGCGGUGAAAUGCUUAGAUAUCACGAAGAACUCCGAUUGCGAAGGCAGCAUACGGCAGCGCUACUGACACUGAAGCUCGAAGGCGUGGGUAUCGAACAGGAUUAGAUACCCGGGUAGUC